This 451-nucleotide ribosomal RNA is filed under the name uncultured bacterium. RNAcentral describes it as "partial 16S ribosomal RNA". It matches the Rfam family "Bacterial small subunit ribosomal RNA", at positions 354 to 796 of the family's 1533-position model. The record is from RNAcentral.
GUGGGGAAUAUUGCGCAAUGGGGGAAACCCUGACGCAGCGACGCCGUGUGAGGGAAGAAGGCUUUCGGGUCGUAAACCUCUGUCAGAAAGGAAGAACCUCCCAAGUCCGAAUAGGGCUUGGGACUGACGGUACUUUCAAAGGAAGCACCGGCUAACUCCGUGCCAGCAGCCGCAGUAAUACGGAGGGUGCAAGCGUUAAUCGGAAUCACUGGGCGUAAAGCGCGCGUAGGCCGCUUUGUAAGUCGGACGUGAAAGCCCUCGGCUCAACCGGGGAACUGCGUUCGAUACUGCGAGGCUUGAGUCCUGGAGAGGGUGGCGGAAUUCCGGGUGUAGGAGUGAAAUCCGUAGAUAUCCGGAGGAACACCGGUGGCGAAGGCGGCCACCUGGACAGGUACUGACGCUGAGGCGCGAAAGCGUGGGGAGCAAACAGGAUUAGAUACCCGGGUAGUCC